UUUAACAGAAACCGAAUAUAUUUUUAUUAAAAAUUUAUUGUUUUAUUAUGUGGAAGACUUCGGUUUAUUACCACUUAUAACCCCUGAGACUAAUUUUAAAGAUUAUCAUAAUUUCCUAUGCAAACUUUAUACCGGUGAAUUUUCUUGCGCUUUCUGUUUCGAGCCAAAUUUUAUCCUGUGUCUGGUUUACAACGGAUUUAUCCCGAUGGCUUACUAUAAUUUAUUGACUCCUAAACUUCACCGACAGAGAUGCAUCCUUACUUUUGACAAUUUACAUGUCUCUCGUAAUGUGUUAAAAAAAUGUAAAAAAUAUAUUAU
Molecule: long non-coding RNA, 318 nt
Organism: Zophobas morio
Lineage: Eukaryota; Metazoa; Arthropoda; Insecta; Coleoptera; Tenebrionidae
Exons: 3
Source: RefSeq, a predicted model, not a curated record